Molecule: small nuclear RNA, 166 nt
Organism: Nannospalax galili (Upper Galilee mountains blind mole rat)
Lineage: Eukaryota; Metazoa; Chordata; Mammalia; Rodentia; Spalacidae
Gene: U1
Rfam family: U1 spliceosomal RNA
About the family: U1 is a small nuclear RNA (snRNA) component of the spliceosome (involved in pre-mRNA splicing). Its 5' end forms complementary base pairs with the 5' splice junction, thus defining the 5' donor site of an intron.
Source: Ensembl
UUACUUAUCUGGCAGGGUAGACACCAUCAGGAAGGUGGUUCUCUGAGGAAGAGGGUGAGGCCCAUCCAUUGCACUUGGGAUGUGUUGACUCCUGUGAUUUCACCAAAUGGGGGAAACUCAGCUGCAUAAUUUGUGAUAGUGGGGACUGCAUUCAUGCUCUCCCCUU